Molecule: unclassified non-coding RNA, 1378 nt
Filed under: Neodiprion lecontei (redheaded pine sawfly)
Lineage: Eukaryota; Metazoa; Arthropoda; Insecta; Hymenoptera; Diprionidae
Description: transcription factor Sox-2, transcript variant X11
Source: RNAcentral
ACCGAAGUACGACGGAGAGCAAAACGUGCGCGCGCAUAUCGCUCCGUGCGCCGUCAGGCGGGAGAUUCAAUUGUCACGUGUGGAAACUGUGCGCCGUAACUUCAAAAGUGUAUUUCUUUCGCUUUUACCGUCAUCUAUUCACCCACUCAGUUGAUCACUCAUGUCUUCUUUGUUGCCAUUGAACUAGUUCUAGGCUUCCUCGUUCGGUUAUCAUUCUUAUCACUGUGUAUUCUCGUUUCUUGUCUUCAUAUUAUCCUUAUCUUUUCCCCUCGGUGUUCUUCGUGUGCUUUUUCCUCACCGUCGACUGAUCAUCACCCAAAGGAUUACCGGGCUGUGCUAAACGCAAUUAUCCGUCUUAUCAAAACUAAUUCCAACACACGAGAACUUGUGUUCUCAAAGUGACAGCGUCUAGUGCAGAGUGGUGUCAUCGCGAUCAAUCCGCCACGCGAUAGCGAUCGAUCGCUUUAGAUUUCGUUUAGGACAUUCCUUUACCGAAGGAUUCGGUCCUUCGUUUUCGUUGGUGUGAAAAUAAAGAGACGACUGUCGUUCAAACGGAAGUACCAAAUACGGUCGCAACCGUAGCUAGUGAGUUUUAUCACCCUGUAUCACUGAAGAAAAUUUCAAAUACAUGACGUGAAAAAGUUAAGACCCUUAUUGUGCAGUGAUGAUCGCCAAGGAUUGUUGGACAGAUUCUCAAAGAUUCCUAGACCCUUCGGACUUCACGGGGGUUCGAGAGUGUUCAGUUUUCAGUGAUACGCAACGGUAUAUACUUUCGCCGUGUGAAUAACGCGAUAGGCGUGAGAUGACCGGUGCUCUGUGCAUGAUCUGUCGGCGAACCUAGAAAUGCAGGAUUUGACGUAUCUGACGGCUGAAUAAUGCCCGAAUAUCUAGCGCGAGGCCGCUGGUGAUCGUAAUUCGUAAUUUCGGUUGUGAGUUUUGUGCCGUGACAUGCUCGAGUUGUUGGAAUAUGUAGUGCGCGGGUUGCAGUGACGUUCGGUUUUGACUGAGUGCCCGCUGCCACCCCAUCUAUCCAACCAUCCAUUCAUCCAUCCAUCCAUCCAUCCAUCCAUCCGUAUGCCUAUCCAUCCGCUGUUUGCUCCGGCGCUCGGUCAGUUGUUUAAUCUGUUACCCUGCAGCUCACCGGCGAUCUGGAAAUACCACAAUGCUCCAGCUUCCAGAUCCGGACCACAACAACGUGGAUUAUACCCGACUUGUUGCAGCUGCUGGAAGCGAAGAAGCCCCUGCAGUAUAACAAAUUCGAUACGCGAAUUUCGAUGACUUGAUCGAAAACUGAGCGCAGGUGAGAAAGCACUCUUCAACAUCGCUACCUACAAUACAACGAGUUUCGAACAAAAGCGACUCACUCGGGAGAAUAAGG